GGGGUUGUAGCUCAGUGGCAGAGUGCUUGCCUCCUACGUGUGAGGCACUGGGUUCGAUUCCUAGCACCA
This 69-nucleotide transfer RNA is filed under the name Ictidomys tridecemlineatus (thirteen-lined ground squirrel). RNAcentral's name for it is "Spermophilus tridecemlineatus (thirteen-lined ground squirrel) tRNA". It matches the Rfam family "tRNA". From Rfam's summary of the family: Transfer RNA (tRNA) molecules are approximately 80 nucleotides in length. Their secondary structure includes four short double-helical elements and three loops (D, anti-codon, and T loops). The record is from Rfam by way of RNAcentral. RNAcentral also lists the same sequence under 1 other name. Lineage: Eukaryota; Metazoa; Chordata; Mammalia; Rodentia; Sciuridae.